AUUGAACGCUAGCGGGAUGCCUUACACAUGCAAGUCGAACGGAGUGGCGAACGGGUGAGUAAUGUAUCGGAACGUGCCCAGUAGCGGGGGAUAACUACGCGAAAGCGUAGCUAAUAACGCAUACUAUUGGAGCGGCCGAUAUCGGAGUAGCUAGUUGGUGGGGUAACGGAUCACCAAGGCGACGAUCCGUAGCUGGUUUGAGAGGACGACCAGCCAACCGGGGACUUAGACACGGCCCAGACUCCUACGGGAGGCCGCGGUGGGGAAUUUGGGACAAUGGGGGAAAGCCUGAUCCAGCCAUCCCGCGGGUGCGAUGAAGGCCUUCGGGUUGUAAAGCACUGUUGGCAGGAAAGCGGUACCUGCAGAAUAAGCACCGGCUAACUACGUGCCAGCAGCCGCGGUAAUUC
RNAcentral lists this ribosomal RNA (407 nucleotides) under uncultured bacterium. RNAcentral describes it as "partial 16S ribosomal RNA". It matches the Rfam family "Bacterial small subunit ribosomal RNA", at positions 30 to 526 of the family's 1533-position model. The record is from RNAcentral.